AACCAAAGAUAAAUGCUAAGAUCGAACAGUAGGAAAAAAAUCGAUUUAAUUUUGGGGUAUUUUCAUUUUUAAUGAAACGGGGUCUUUUCAUCCGCGAACCCCUUGUUUUGAUAUUAAAUAGUUUAGCUUAUGCGCACCCCUCGGUAUAAUGUUUUGUUUUGAAACCUGUGUUUAUAUUUAUGUUGUUUCCUCACCAAGUUUUCUGCGGUCGCGUUUCGGUUCGCGUAUUUUCUUGCAUGGAUGCAAAUAAAAAACACAGUUUUCGCAGAUAAUCCGCGUUGCUGGCAGUGGCUAAUGGUUCUUCCGAUUCGCGCAGCGUGAUCCUUUCGGCAGACAGUGUAUCCGAGAUCCGGGCAGCAGUAGAGACUGCAGAGAAACAACGAUCCUGUGACUACAACGGUACUCGGAAAAAAGGAAUGGGUCUGUAAACUGAGCAGGCAACUCAUCACAACGUCUCGAACGAAUAUUCGAUCAGAAGAAAGACGAAUUCCAAAAAUUUUAUCUUCAGUUGGUCGGUCGAAAAGUCGGGAUUUCUCCUUUUACCCAUUCGUCAAACUGGGUAUCGUAUGGGCUCAGCAGAAUGAGUGCGUGUUCCGGAUUUUUCGCGACGAUUCCCUACAUAUCGGCCGACCGAUUCUUAGAAGUGAAUCGAAGCCAAAUGCAAAAGUGUUUCUUUUCACACUGCCACAUGAAUCACAUGCACGAAGUGCACGUCGUAGAUCCACUUAAAGAACUGCUACACAGUCGGAAAGCCUAUCCAAACUAAACGGGCUCUGUCAGGAGUGGCUCUCCCGGAGCCCUCAAAACGUAAUCACCUCGAACCGGCCCUAUACGGAUCGGAGACUCUGUUCAUCGAGCUGUCCGACCACUUUCGGCACAACAUCCACGUCAAACUACAGAGGAACUACAAUGCUACCGAUUCCAGGUCAGUAUAGGUAAUGCGGUUACUUCCGGCAAUCCCUCAGGCACACACGAAUCCUUCUCUGUCAGGGCACCCAUUCACUGUACUAGCGUCGACCGACGUUGGACGGGAAGUACAUCCGGCCGUCGACCAGCGUAGGCGUAUGCUCCCGGUGUAGAGGAAAUGUUAAGGGUAAAGACGUUUGUGCUUUGGAUGGCUGUGUGGAAGGAUCAUGGUACGGAACCAGCAACUUGGCAUGGAGGAUUUUCAUUGCCUGAAGCAGCUACGUCGUCCAGCAUCUCUAGUCAAUAUCAUCCAGCUACAUAAGAUCAAAACUCACAAUUCUACGUUGAAUAGGACCAAAUCGCACAGUUAUGUUUUAUUGUAUUUAUGUGUGGGUUUUGGUUACAAUAAUAAAAAGUAUUGGAAAGGGGUGGGGGAAGGGAAUUGUAUCGUAACGUAUCCGAAAAUUCAUCAUUGUUAUGAAGAGGAUGUAGAGGAUUUCUAGGUUAUACAUACUAAAUAUUUGUUGUAAGCAAUAGGUAAGGUUCACCAUGUUUUCUCAAUUUGCAAGGUGAUGCAAGAACUAUUUUCUUCUAAAAUUAGUCACGUAAAAAAACUAUUGUAGUUGUUCCAAUUGAUUGUAAAUUAAUUUUGCUUUGUGUUAGUACUUGUUCUAAGUAGUCGGUACCGUCAUCCGAGAACUUCUGAAGUUAUUAUAGAAUUUUUCAAGCGAUGUUUGCUCAUCGUCGAAAUUUGCUUUUGCCUUGUAGGUUCACCAAGUCCUCCCACCGCAUGGUGAAGCAAGUGUAGUUGACUUUUGGAAUUGGUUCCACCAUCCAAGAAUUUCGGGAGUUACUCCAGAAAUUCUUGGGUGAUGUUUGCUCAUCGUCAUAGUUUGCCUUUGCUUUGUAGGUUCACCAAGUCCUCCCACCGCAUGGUGAAGCAAGUGUAGUUGACUUUUGGAAUUGGUUCCACCAUCCAAGAAUUUCGGGAGUUACUCCAGAAAUUCUUGGAUGAUGUUUGCUCAUCGUCAUAGUUUGCCUUUGCUUUGUAGGUUCACCAAGUCCUCCCACCGCAUGGUGAAGCAAGUGUAGUUGACUUGGAAUUGGUUCCACCAUCCAAGAACUUCGGGAGUUACUCCAGAAAUUCUUGGGUGAUGUUUUCUCAUCAUCAUAGCUUGAUUUUGCCUUGUAGGUUCACCAAGUCUUCCCACCGCAUGGUGAAGCAAGUAUAGUUGACUUUUAGAAUUGGUUCCACCAUCCAAGAACUUCAGGAGUUACUCCAGAAAUUCUUGGGUGAUGUUUGCUCAUCGUCAUAGUUUGCCUUUGCUUUGUAGGUUCACCAAGUCCUCCCACCGCAUGGUGAAGCAAGUGUAGUUGACUUUUGGAAUUGGUUCCACCAUCCAAGAAUUUCGGGAGUUACUCCAGAAAUUCUUGGAUGAUGUUUGCUCAUCGUCAUAGUUUGCCUUUGCUUUGUAGGUUCACCAAGUCCUCCCACCGCAUGGUGAAGCAAGUGUAGUUGACUUGGAAUUGGUUCCACCAUCCAAGAACUUCGGGAGUUACUCCAGAAAUUCUUGGGUGAUGUUUGCUCAUCGUCAUAGUUUGCCUUUGCUUUGUAGGUUCACCAAGUCUUCCCACCGCAUGGUGAAGCAAGUAUAGUUGACUUUUGGAAUUGGUUCCACCAUCCAAGAACUUCAGGAGUUACUCCAGAAAUUUUUGGGUGAUGUUUGCUCAUCGUCAUAGUUUGCCUUUGCUUUGUAGGUUCACCAAGUCCUCCCACCGCAUGGUGAAGCAAGUGUAGUUGACUUUUGAAAUCGAUUCCA
Molecule: long non-coding RNA, 2726 nt
Organism: Aedes albopictus (Asian tiger mosquito)
Lineage: Eukaryota; Metazoa; Arthropoda; Insecta; Diptera; Culicidae
Exons: 5
Source: RefSeq, a predicted model, not a curated record